Molecule: ribosomal RNA, 467 nt
Filed under: uncultured bacterium
Lineage: Bacteria
Description: partial 16S ribosomal RNA
Rfam family: Bacterial small subunit ribosomal RNA
Source: RNAcentral
GACGAACGCUGGCGGCGUGCUUAACACAUGCAAGUCGAACGAUGACGACCGAGCUUGCUCGGUCUGAUUAGUGGCGAACGGGUGAGUAACACGUGAGCAACCUGCCCUUCACUCUGGGAUAACCUCGGGAAAUCGGGGCUAAUACCGGAUAUGAGCUCCUGUCGCAUGGCGGGUGUUGGAAAGUUUUUCGGUGAAGGAUGGGCUCGCGGCCUAUCAGUUUGUUGGUGAGGUAGUGGCUCACCAAGGUGAUGACGGGUAGCCGGCCUGAGAGGGCGACCGGCCACACUGGGACUGAGACACGGCCCAGACUCCUACGGGAGGCAGCAGUGGGGAAUAUUGCACAAUGGGCGAAAGCCUGAUGCAGCGACGCCGCGUGAGGGAUGACGGCCUUCGGGUUGUAAACCUCUUUCAGCAGGGAAGAAGCGAAAGUGACGGUACCUGCAGAAGAAGCGCCGGCUAACUACGUG